This 1037-nucleotide long non-coding RNA is filed under the name Salmo salar (Atlantic salmon). RNAcentral describes it as "lncRNA (ENSSSAG00000096655.1, ENSSSAG00020083820.1)". Lineage: Eukaryota; Metazoa; Chordata; Actinopteri; Salmoniformes; Salmonidae. The record is from RNAcentral.
UAUCUCCAGACCUUGGUGCUGUCAUAUUCUUUCACUUGUUACAUAUCGCAGCACCCGUACCACAGUCAGUCUGUCUGUCUGUCUGGAUGUCUGUCUGGCCUUCUGUCUGGAUGUCUUGACAAAAGAACUGUUGUUUUAUUCUCUUUUCCCAAUCCAAAUCUGGCUCUGAGCAGCUAGGGCUGUGGCAUUAGAAUGACUUCUGAGAAUAUACAGUAUGUUCUGUGUUUUAUGUCGAUAUGGUCUUAGCAUUGAUUCUGUCCAUCCUGUACAAUAUCUGAUCCUCAUUUCCUGGACACAUGAUAUGGUAAUAAAGUGCUUUAUCCCUGCAUUCUUCACUGCAAAUGCCAAAUUUGGGACUUAACCCACCAUUGGAUACAAUGCGAUUUGCAGCAAGUGCCAAAAUCAAGAGUGAAUCGUGUCUUUGAUAUCACAUCUCAGUGACCUUAGAGGACUCCUGUGAUCAAUAUUCAUGAAUUUCCUAUUUUAUUUCAACACUUUGCAAGAGAUAGACAAAAGGAGAAACCCUGACAGAAAGUAUGAGCCAUGUACACCUCAGGAAAUCACCGGGGAGCAUAACAAAGGUACAAAAACGUUGAAAUAAACCAUGAUGUUCCAGCAGCAGCAACCAUGCAGAGAGAUUUGGAGUUUUGAAAACCUGUCUAAAGGGUAAUGGAGGAGUUCUUUGGUGACAUUCCAGCAGAGUCCUGUCAGGGGUGAAUGCGUCAUGCCAGAAGAUAUUUCCCCCGCUGUCUGGCCAAGGAGAAUAUCACCUGUGAUGUUGAUGAACAUCUAUGGCCAGAACAAAACAACUGACAUUACUGAUUUUGUUUCUUGACUUAUGAUUUUGAUUUUACUGUAUUUUACUGUAUUUACUGUAGUUUCUUUAUCUAUUCCGUACAAUUGAUCUAACAUACAGUGCAGUAGUACAAAUAGGCCUAUUUUUAUUCCUGUGCAUAGGCAAAAUGUAUUUACUUCAUGUUUGCAUUUUUCGUGUAUGUGUGUUUACAGUAUGCUGUUUGAUAUGUAUUGAGUCCUGU